GCCUGGGUGGCUUGGUCGGUGAAGCAUCUGGCUUCGGCUCAGGUCAUGAUCUCACAAUCCGUGAGUUCAAGCCCCGCAUCAGGCU
Molecule: non-coding RNA, 85 nt
Organism: Felis catus (domestic cat)
Lineage: Eukaryota; Metazoa; Chordata; Mammalia; Carnivora; Felidae
Source: Rfam